This 433-nucleotide ribosomal RNA is filed under the name uncultured bacterium. RNAcentral's name for it is "partial 16S ribosomal RNA". It matches the Rfam family "Bacterial small subunit ribosomal RNA", at positions 29 to 507 of the family's 1533-position model. The record is from RNAcentral.
AGCGAACGCUGGCGGCAGGCCUAACACAUGCAAGUCGAACGAACUCUUCGGAAUUAGUGGCGGACGGGUGAGUAACACGUGGGGACGUGCCUUUUGGUUCGGAAUAACUCUGGGACACUUGUGCUAAUACCGAAUGUGCCCUUCGGGGGAAAGAUUUAUCGCCAUUAGAGCGGCACGCGUCUGAUUAGCUAGUUGGUGAGGUAACGGCUCACCAAGGCGUCGAUCAGUAGCUGGUCAGAGAGGAAGACAAGCCACACUGAGACGGGGACACGGCCCAGACUCCUACGGGAGGCAGGAGAGGGGAAUCUUGCGAAAUCGGCUAAAGCCUGACGCAGCCAGGCCGCGUGAACGAUGUAGUUCGUAGGGUUGUAAAAUUCUUUCACCGGGGACGAUAAUGACGGUACCCAGAGAAGAAGCCCCGGCUAACUUCGUG